CGGGGGGUGGGGGGGGGGCCCUCAGCCCGGAUUGUAAGACGGCACAGGCCAGGCCGAGGGACCCCACCAGUGCACG
This is a non-coding RNA of Myotis lucifugus (little brown bat), 76 nucleotides long. The record is from Rfam. NCBI's taxonomy places the organism in Eukaryota, Metazoa, Chordata, Mammalia, Chiroptera, Vespertilionidae.